UUGAGAGAGAGAGAAAGAAAGAGAAAUCGUCGCUGGAAGGAAAGGGGAGCGUUGUUUUGUGAGUGGAUUUGCGAUUCCGCCUCCCCAGGGGGACAUGUGACCACGGGGCGGCGAUUUGCAUAGAUUUUGGUGUCGCCGCGCUCCAGACUCGCCUGCGAGUCACACCAGAGGGCCCAGGGUCUCCUAUCAAGGGGGAGGGUGAUUGAGCCAGCCAGCAACCACCCUCAGCCCCGACACAGAGAGACCACCAUCUCACCGCCUGCUCCGAACUCCAUUCCUACGUAUCACUGCUCCUACCCAGAGCAUUUGGUAGGGAAACCCAAACAGCAAAACAAAAAACCCUCACCAGUUGUUCCAUUUAAUCGCCAGUGUUUCGCAGUUACACUUUACUCUGUUUUAUGAGCCGCUUGUGUCCCAAUGUUCCAGACUGUAUGUGAGAAGCUGUUAAUGGCGAUGCAGAUGCUUAAAUAAAUUUCAAACCAUGGAAAGGAAUAACGAAGAUUCCCAAAUGUGUUCCGAACUUGUAAACUUCCAAGCAGGCGGCAGUUGGCAUUGUGUAAAUGCACAAAGCGUACACAAUCUCUGUUUAUGUGCGUGUGUGUUUGUGUGUGCCAUAUAUCUACAUGUAGAGAGAGAGAGACUUGUUUCCAAUCAAUUUCAGGUCAGUUUCACAAAGUUUAAAUCAACCAAUUUAAUGGCCGAACCCUGGGUAAUUAGAACGCUUCGGAAUUAUAUCGAAAUAGCAGAUCGUGAAAGGGUUUGGUGGGAUAAUUUGAAACAAAGGUGGUCCGGUCACAGUAUGCUCAUUAAGAUCUCGGCACUAACCUAUCAGAGAUGGCUGUAAUGAAUUUAAAUCUGGAUUGACGAAGAUCAGCAGUAACAUACAGUAUGCUUUAGUUAUUCGUGUACAAACUAUUGAAAAUCGGUUAGGAAUUCUGGCAGACAACAUCAUUAAUUUUAAAAAUGCAAGAAAGAAACCAGUUGACGAAACUUGUUACAAAUUCGUAUUAAGCGAUUUGACUUGCCUUGUUCACCCCUCCCCCCACCCCCAGCACAGCUCACGGGAACAGACGCUGUACACGCGUCCAGUUAUUUUUUGAUCACUCACAAUUCUCCUUCAACUCUUGUCAAAUAUUCUCCAAGGAAUUUCAAAUGGAAAACCUACCACUACCGUCCUUUCCGUCUGUACUCCUGUAAUAUGGGUCACUAGGUUUGACUUGCGCUCUGGGACAGUCGAAAAGGAAUGUUCUUAACACAGAGCUGAAGCGAAGGUAGACCAUCUAGAUAUUUACCAAGUCCCAGAACGCUCUCAAAAAUCAAUUUUCUAUCUGCCUGACGACUUCAUAUCAUUAAAUUAUUCAAAAUGCA
Carcharodon carcharias (great white shark) is the source of this 1368-nucleotide long non-coding RNA. RefSeq lists it as uncharacterized. The transcript has 2 exons. Lineage: Eukaryota; Metazoa; Chordata; Chondrichthyes; Lamniformes; Lamnidae. The record is from RefSeq and is a predicted model, not a curated record.